UACAGAGGUCUCAAGCGUUGUUCGGAUUCAUUGGGCGUAAAGGGUGCGUAGGUGGCGCGCUAAGUCAGGUGUGAAAUUUCGGAGCUUAACUCUGAAACUGCAUUUGAUACUGGCGUGCUUGAGGACUGGAGAGGAGACUGGAAUUCAUGGUGUAGCAGUGAAAUGCGUAGAGAUCAUGAGGAAGACCAGUGGCGAAGGCGAGUCCCUGGAAAACACCUGACACUGAGGCACGAAAGCUAGGGGAGCAAACAGG
Molecule: ribosomal RNA, 253 nt
Filed under: uncultured bacterium
Lineage: Bacteria
Description: partial 16S ribosomal RNA
Rfam family: Bacterial small subunit ribosomal RNA
Source: RNAcentral